UUUCCGUAGGUGAACCUGCGGAAGGAUCAUUAAAGAGAAUAUGCCCUUCGGGGUAGAUCUCCCACCCUUUGUUUAUAUUACCUUUGUUGCUUUGGCAGGCCCGUCUUCGGACUACCGGCUUCGGCUGGUCAGUGCUUGCCAGAGGACCCAAAACUCUUAUUAUUAAUGUCGUCUGAGUACUAUAUAAUAGUUAAAACUUUCAACAACGGAUCUCUUGGUUCUG
Molecule: unclassified non-coding RNA, 223 nt
Filed under: plant metagenome
Description: partial contains small subunit ribosomal RNA, internal transcribed spacer 1, and 5.8S ribosomal RNA
Source: RNAcentral